This 73-nucleotide transfer RNA is filed under the name Planctomycetaceae bacterium. RNAcentral describes it as "tRNA-Lys". It matches the Rfam family "tRNA". From Rfam's summary of the family: Transfer RNA (tRNA) molecules are approximately 80 nucleotides in length. RNAcentral also lists the same sequence under 1 other name. The record is from RNAcentral. Lineage: Bacteria; Pseudomonadati; Planctomycetota; Planctomycetia; Planctomycetales; Planctomycetaceae.
GCCUCCGUAGCUCAAUUGGCAGAGCAGCUGACUCUUAAUCAGUUGGUUGUAGGUUCGAGUCCUACCGGGGGCA